GGGUCUACUUGAAAGAUAGAAGUAAAAGACACACUCCCAAGUUCAGCUGCCUCGGGGGAGGAGAUAUGCUGAAGAUAUCCACAGUAUGGUUCUAUUCAUAGUACCUAUUGUUCCUCUCCCAUGGAAUAUCAGACCUUGGGUCAUGCCCUAUUGGACACUCUAUGUCAGUUAUUAAAUCCUCACCAAAUUCUGAAAUUUAGAGAACAGCUCCAGCAGUCUGAAGAGGUGUCGGAAAUUGGUCACAGGGGCCGCGUGUCCAAAGUCAACUGA
RNAcentral lists this long non-coding RNA (270 nucleotides) under Mustela putorius furo (domestic ferret). Its description in RNAcentral is "lncRNA (ENSMPUG00000031812.1)". Lineage: Eukaryota; Metazoa; Chordata; Mammalia; Carnivora; Mustelidae. The record is from RNAcentral.